RNAcentral lists this ribosomal RNA (253 nucleotides) under uncultured bacterium. RNAcentral describes it as "partial 16S ribosomal RNA". It matches the Rfam family "Bacterial small subunit ribosomal RNA", at positions 524 to 776 of the family's 1533-position model. The record is from RNAcentral.
UACGUAGGUGGCAAGCGUUAUCCGGAAUUAUUGGGCGUAAAGAGCGCGCAGGUGGUUAAUUAAGUCUGAUGUGAAAGCCCACGGCUUAACCGUGGAGGGUCAUUGGAAACUGGUUGACUUGAGUGCAGGAGAGGGAAGUGGAAUUCCAUGUGUAGCGGUGAAAUGCGUAGAGAUAUGGAGGAACACCAGUGGCGAAGGCGGCUUCCUGGUCUGUAACUGACACUGAGGCGCGAAAGCGUGGGGAGCAAACAGG